UACGUAGGGUGCAAGCGUUAAUCGGAAUUACUGGGCGUAAAGCGUGCGUAGACGGUUACAUAAGUCGGGUGUGAAAGCCCCGGGCUCAACCUGGGAAUUGCAUUCGAGACUGCGUAGCUAGGGUGCGGAAGAGGGAAGCGGAAUUUCCGGUGUAGCGGUGAAAUGCGUAGAUAUCGGAAGGAAUACCAGUGGCGAAAGCGGCUUCCUGGUCCAGCACCGACGUUCAGGCACGAAAGCGUGGGGAGCAAACAGG
This 253-nucleotide ribosomal RNA is filed under the name uncultured bacterium. RNAcentral describes it as "partial 16S ribosomal RNA". It matches the Rfam family "Bacterial small subunit ribosomal RNA", at positions 524 to 776 of the family's 1533-position model. The record is from RNAcentral.